GCCUGGAUGGUGGAACUGGUAGACACGACAGACUUAAAAUCUGUUGACCUUACGGUCGUGCGGGUUCAAGUCCCGCUCCGGGUACCA
RNAcentral lists this transfer RNA (87 nucleotides) under Flavobacteriales bacterium. Its description in RNAcentral is "tRNA-Leu". It matches the Rfam family "tRNA". Rfam says of the family: Transfer RNA (tRNA) molecules are approximately 80 nucleotides in length. Their secondary structure includes four short double-helical elements and three loops (D, anti-codon, and T loops). Further hydrogen bonds mediate the characteristic L-shaped molecular structure. tRNAs have two regions of fundamental functional importance: the anti-codon, which is responsible for specific mRNA codon recognition, and the 3' end, to which the tRNAs corresponding amino acid is attached (by aminoacyl-tRNA synthetases). tRNAs cope with the degeneracy of the genetic code in two manners: having more than one tRNA (with a specific anti-codon) for a particular amino acid; and 'wobble' base-pairing, i.e. permitting non-standard base-pairing at the 3rd anti-codon position. The record is from RNAcentral. Lineage: Bacteria; Pseudomonadati; Bacteroidota; Flavobacteriia; Flavobacteriales.